Molecule: long non-coding RNA, 1288 nt
Organism: Dreissena polymorpha
Lineage: Eukaryota; Metazoa; Mollusca; Bivalvia; Myida; Dreissenidae
Exons: 3
Source: RefSeq, a predicted model, not a curated record
GCUGUUGUAAUAGUAGUAUUAGUUUUGCAGAAGUAGUAGUAGUAGUAGUAGUACUAGUAGUAGAAGUAAAAGUAGUAACUUUCAAAGCAAUGUCUACAAGUUUAAAUUCCUUAACCCCGUUCAAGGUGUUUACACACUCAAUAUUUAACUACAGUCCAGGUUUGCAAUUAACAAACUAUCUGAAAAGCCUGUGUGUGAGUCAGAUGUGUCUGCGGCUAAUCUAUUGGUUAUAAAAUAUCACAGCCUUUUCUGAUUGGCUGAGUUCAAAUACAGAAAGUUUACCUGUUAGAUUGAAAUUAUGGAGAAGGCGUAUUGAAGAUAAAAUGCAGGUUAAACUUGUUGUUAAAAUGAAGUUAAUGUAAUUUCACAAACAGUAGAGUUUAACUUAAUGAGUUUUUCCAUUAACAAGAAUUUCUUAAAAUAAUAAUGUAUGGAUAUCAUUUGGAAAGUGACAUGAAAUGUUGUUAAAAAGUGAUGCAUACAAGUGUUUCAGAAGUCUGUCUAGGAAUAGAACAACAACUGAAGCUGACCAGUUGAUGGAAGAUACUGCAGAGUUUGGCAGGGAAAUAACCCAAGACAGCAAAGCGGCUCUUUUGGCGCAUUUACCAAGAGGACUAACAUGGCCACAAAUUCAUGAGAUCAUGCAGGAGCCGUACAGUAUAACAGCAGUACAAGUUCUAUAAAAGAUCCACGACCUACUGAAGCCCAGCUAAUUAACAAAAAAGUUUUUAAAAACUGUAAUUUUAUCCCACCUGGGUACUUAUAAUUUACUAACUGUCACUUGGAAAGUAAUACAUGUACAUGCAUUCAUGUUCUGAAUUUCUUUGAACAAUAAAAUUAUAUAAAAGUAUUUUAAUGAAAUUGAGCACCUAAAUUGCAUUAAAGUGAAAGUAGCUGAGAAAAAUAGUAUCCUUAAUUGUUCUCAUGGGCAGCUACAUAUAUUGUGACAAACAUGAAGUAGCUAAAAUAACUUAAAUUUUUCAUUUUGUUUCUUGUAUAUCGUUUGUACAGGGUUCGUGAAUUGUUACUGUAUAUUACUUGACUUGCUUGUAUUUUGUUACUUUGAAUACAUGUUGUUAAGGUUGCAUUAUACUUUUUAACUUUUAAAGUAGCGCCUGUUCUGUUAUGUAAGGGCCUGAUUUAUGAUAAUGGACCUAGAGGCUUUGUAAGCAUGUAUUAAACAACACUUGUUUGAUCUGAAUAAUUUGUUAAAUAAAUGUAACACAAUUUGUAAUCUGAUGUUAUAUUUUGAUGAAUUGUGAACAAAAUAAUACAUCGAAGAAACUAA